CACAAACACCAACCCAGAGUUUAGUUCCUGUAACGACUCAGAAAAGUAUGUUUGUUAUUUGUGUUAUUGAGGAUUUCUACCCCAAGCAUCUCACUGUACAAUGGAAAGUAAAUGAUUCCAACAUCUCUAUACUGUCAAAACUGGAGUAUGAACAGAACGCUGAAGGUCUUUACACAGCGUACAGUCUUUAUAAAGUCAGCAGAGAGACAUGGAACACAAAUACUUUCUAUACCUGUGAGGUCACACACCAGCAAGAAAUAUUUACUGUAAUUAAGAACUUUAAUGCUAAAUUCUCACUGAAGCUGAAGCCACCAAUUGAGAAAGAAUUAUUUGUCAAUGGUAAAGUUGUCUUGGAGGCUGUUGUUUCUGGAGAUACACAGGCAGUGAAAGAAGCUUCAGUGUCAUGCAAAGUGAAGAAUGAACCUUUAAUAACUGUACCAGGAACUACAGACUUUUAUACGGACAUUUCACAGUUUAUAAAAGUCAACAACAUCAUUGUUGAUGCUAAGAAAUGGUUUGAUGGUGAAAUGGUCACCUGCACAGUUCAUGACAAAAACAACAACAGAGACAUCAAGCAGGAGAUCUUUUUUGAUAAAGGAGAUGGACGGAAACCCAGUGUUGUCAUUUACAGACCUGAUAAUAUGCACGCUGACAGCAUCUCUCUAGUGUGUGAGGUCUCCAGCCCUAAACUCGGCAAUGUCUAUUUCAUGUGGAAAGUGGGCCAUAGGCCUUACAUAAAGGGCUCAACCAGCGCUCCUAUCCAUCUAAAGGACUCCACGUCUGUUCUCAGCAUACUAACAAUGACAAAACAGGAAUAUGAAAGGCACAACCCCAUCAUAUGCACAGUCAUACAUGCCAACAUGGAUAAUAUGAGCGCUCCUAUACAAGUUUCAACAUCCCAAAGUAAAGAGAAAGAAGUGUCAUGUGAUUAAUGUUCAAGUGCUGUACCAAACAAUCACAGUGUUUAUCUGUUGUUCACUUCUAUGUUCUCCAGUGCUUCCCCUCACCAAAAAGUAGUAUACUUAAAGUUCAUUUUAUUAAGUAUACUUAAGUAAAGUUCAAGUAUAUUUUUAAGUAUAUUUUAUGUAACAAGUAUACAAAUAUCAGUGUUCUAGUAGUAUACUUGUAA
This is a non-coding RNA of Cyprinus carpio (common carp), 1129 nucleotides long. Lineage: Eukaryota; Metazoa; Chordata; Actinopteri; Cypriniformes; Cyprinidae. The record is from the annotation of a RefSeq genome assembly.